GACGAACGCUGGCGGCGUGCUUAACACAUGCAAGUCGAACGCUGAAGCCCUUUCGGGGGUGGAUGAGUGGCGAACGGGUGAGUAACACGUGGGUAAUCUGCCCUGCACUCUGGGAUAAGCCUUGGAAACGGGGUCUAAUACCGGAUAGGACACUUCGCCGCAUGGUGUGUGUGUGGAAAGUUCCGGCGGUGCAGGUUGAGCCCGCGGCCUAUCAGCUUGUUGGUGGGGUGAUGGCCUACCAAGGCGACGACGGGUAGCCGGCCUGAGAGGGUGACCGGCCACACGGGGGCUGAGACACGGCCCAGACUCCUACGGGAGGCAGCAGUGGGGAAUCUUGCGCAAUGGGCGAAAGCCUGACGCAGCAACGCCGCGUGGGGGAUGACGGCCUUCGGGUUGUAAACCUCUUUCGACCGGGACGAAGGGUGACUGACGGUACCGGUAGAAGAAGCACCGGCUAACUACGUGCCAGCAGCCGCCGUAA
This 481-nucleotide ribosomal RNA is filed under the name uncultured bacterium. Its description in RNAcentral is "partial 16S ribosomal RNA". It matches the Rfam family "Bacterial small subunit ribosomal RNA", at positions 28 to 523 of the family's 1533-position model. The record is from RNAcentral.